ACGUCCAGCAGAUCGUGGCGGGCGAGAUCGAUGCCUUCGUGCGGCGCCAUCGCGGCACGUCCUUGCCGCCCGUCGAUCUCGCGAUGCGGAUGCGC
RNAcentral lists this transfer RNA (95 nucleotides) under Burkholderia diffusa. Its description in RNAcentral is "tRNA-Thr". The record is from RNAcentral. Lineage: Bacteria; Pseudomonadati; Pseudomonadota; Betaproteobacteria; Burkholderiales; Burkholderiaceae.